ACCGAGAUGCUACGUGCUCUGCUUUUAGAGUUCAGGAUUUUGAAAACAACCAGGACUUCGUGGUUUCAUGGAGCCAAGCAAAGGCUGAAGUCUCUUGCAUGUGUCGGUUAUUUGAGUAUAAAGGCUAUCUAUGCAGACACACGCUUAACGUUCUCCAGUGUUGUCAUCUUUCUUCCAUCCCCUCUCAGUACAUAUUGAAACGGUGGACCAAAGAUGCAAGAAGCCAGCAUUGUCCAGGAGAACCUCAGCAGUUGCAGACGAGGCUCCAGAGGUAUAAUGAUUUGUGCCAGAGAGCUUUAAAGCUGAGUGAAGAGGCAUCCAUCUCUCAAGAGAGUUACAAUAUUGCCUUCCCUGCUAUUGAAGAAGCUUUGGGGAACUGUGCUGGUGUUAAUACUUCCGGCAGAAGUCUUCCAGAUGUGGUCGCUUCGCCAACACAAGGUCUGAUAUCCGUCGAGGAGGAUAAUCAGAGCAGAAGUGCAGUCAAGACGACGAGCAAGAAAAAGAAUCCAACUAAGAAAAGAAAAGUAAACUUCUUGUUCAUGAUCUCUCUGUACAUGCACAACUUAAGGUUUUUCUUAGCUUUGCGCUUUUAUGAAUUGCAAGUCUUAUGAUCCUGACUGACUAUGGAUUGCAGGUGAACUCAGAGCAGGAGGUAAUUCCAGUUGCAGCGCCAGAAAGCUUGCAACAGAUGGUCUGUCUUUGUUAUUAACAUGUAGUAGAAAGACUCUGUUAAACUAGAGAGAGUCCCCUAAGUAUAUGAUAUCUGAAUUUUGUAAUUUGCAGGAUAAGUUAAGUCCAAGGACAGUUGGCUUAGAAAGUUAUUAUGGAACACAGCAAAGCGUGCAAAAUCUGGUAACUAAGCACAAAUUACUUGUUAAUAUUCUCUUAUAGACUGAGAUUUUUGUUUGUAAUGUGGUCUGAUUAUAUGUGUGUUUACAGGUCCAGCUGAACUUAAUGGCGCCAAAUCGCGAUAACUUUUAUGGGAAUCAACAAACAAUCCAAGGAUUGGUAUGGAAAUUUCCACCAUCAACACCUAUCUGUAACUAAGCUUCUGUUGUUUUUUUCUAUCAUUUAACUUUGGAUAAAAACAAAAAAAUCCCCGGCUGGUUUUCUGUAGCGACAGUUGAACUCAAUAGCACCAAGCUACGACAGUUACUACACUGCUCAGCAAGGCAUCCAUGGACAGGUACCUUACCUUAUUCUCAGACUCAGAGCUUUUACUUGAUUGCAAAACCUAUUCAAAAAAUGAUCACUCUUUACUUUUGUUCUUUCUAGGGAGUAGAUUUCUUCCGUCCUCCCAACUUUACUUACGAUAUCCGGGUAAAUUUUCAGUUCUAGUAACAUAUUUGCAUCUCUAGUGGUGAAUUUUUGUUCAUGGAAACAAUUGUUUAUUACUGUACAGGAUGAUCCUAAUGUGAGGACGACACAGUUGCAUGAGGACGCGUCUAGACACACUUAAACCAGGCUAAAACCUAACCAAGGUUCAAAUCUUAAAGAGCGUCCGUCCCUCUGUAGACAAAAAGCCAACAAGCACUUGGAAGAUGAAGCUCAUUUCUCGAUCAGGUUUUGGAAACAGAACAAGGAGCAUUUCUUGUUUUAUCGGCUCAAGUGUUUAAAUAGGAUAUGGUGUAUUGUUUCGGUUAUAAAGAUACCGCUUCUGUUAAUAUUUGGUCGUGUGUGUAUUAGUUCUUGAUGAUCCCCAAAAAGCUUUUGAUCAUUGAUUGUUCGAAUUUAGAGGAGGGGGAAACAUUUGUUUAGAAGAUAUUUAUCUAUUUAUAAACUCUUGUUAAUUCUUUUGAUCAAGUUUCUUAUAAUUGCAUCAGAUUAUUCCCUGAUCUUAAGCCACAAUAUGGUCUGUUGUUUUGCUCUUUGAUCCUCGUACAAUAUCUAAGACAAUCUUCAACCUAUUUCUAUUCUUUUUAUACUUUUCUUCUAGAAUAAAAGAAAUUAUUAUAGAUGUAGAUUUACUCUAAUAUAUGCUUCUAAAAUAGAGUUUUUUUUUUUUUUUCAAAACAAAAUAUAAAAAAAUAUUAUUUUCAUCUAUAUAAAACUACUAUUGUUUUAUAUUUUACUCUGUAAAUAGAGAAAUUCUAUUAUAACGUUAUACAUCGGAGAGAUCAUCACCUUAGAAGAGAUGACGAGAAAAUGGUUUAAGCUCGAUCAUCACAUUCUUUUAUUCAUUUUCGUUGAAUAGACAUACAUAGCAUCUGUAAAUAGUUUCAAGUUUCAUCAAUAAAUUUGAUAUUCAAUUAAAAAAAGAAGUUAUACAUUGGAAUAAUAUCACCAUUAUAAUAGAGUUUUCUAUUUUGCGAGAAAAUGUAAAAAUAUAUCGGUGAUGCUCUUAUAACGUGCUCAUAUGAGCAGUGUGAUGAGUGUUUUGCCCAGAAACUAAAAAAUUGAAACACAGAAAAACAUACAUUCCAAAAACUAAAAAAUUGAAAAUAUAAAUUUUGAUUCACAUAUUAGAUUUAGUAAUCAUUCAACAUUGUAAAUUCUGUGGUUUUCUAAACUGAUUUAAUGAACAACACUCCUAAACAAAUAAUGAUUCAUUGUCACUUAUUCAACUCAGUCUCAAGCUGAUGUUUACAAGAUUUUAGCCCCCCCCUAAAGUAUAUAUUAUAUGUGUGAAUUGAUGCAAAGUUCUAACAAAAGAGAACGAUGAUGUAGUUCCCCAUAUUACAUAUCACACGUCAGGAUUAGAUUAUGGUUUUGUUUGAAAAUUCUCACUAGUUUCAUGUCUGAUCUUUGGUCGUAACUUGAUUUACAUUCAUUCCAAGUCACCUACCCCCGUCAAUUAAUUUAUGCCCACUCAUUCCUUAAUCAACUGCGUAAAUAAUAUGUACACCUAUGGUCCUAUCAAUUAUCAAAACACUAGUGUCUUGAGUAUCAUAUACGAAAGUUGUUUCUUUAUUUAGUUGCUCUUUUUUAUUGGAUAAUCGACUAAUCGUUUUCGCUAAUUAAAACAGCCUAUAGGCUUCUCAUUACGCUAUGGAUUUGAACAACAUUGUCGGCAUAUUAUAAUCCUAUUACGUCUAACCUAUUUUAAAAAAUGAUAUAGUACUAUACUAUAUAACAAAAUCUCGUCGUUAUUAUCAUUAUCGUACAUCCGUCGUUAUUCAUUCGUGCUAUAUAAUACGGCUAUCGCACCAAGCAGGCAACGUGAUAUGAAAUAUAUUAACAUUUUGGUUAGGAAUAACGUAACAGAAAAAUAUGUCGUCAGCUAUGUGACGAUUAUGUAAAGUGAGGCACUUAUUUACUAAUUUAAUGAAAGAAUAUACACAGUAAAUUAGGCAAAUUUCGUCAACUUGUUGGGAAAGUAGCCAACCAACCCAAUACAAAACUAAAUUCUACUAGUUAGUUUCUUGGUAAAAACUCAACUAAUUGUAACUUUAAGCUGUUUUAUUAUUGGGCAAAUCUCCAAAAUAUCACAUUUUUAAUUUUAUGUCACAAAAAUAGUCUUCAAAAACUAAAAUGAUCAGAAUAGCAUUUUAUAUUUUGAAAAAACUAAUUUUUUUUAUUUUUCAAAAUUUAAAAUCUUAUUCCAAAACCCCACUCCCCAACUCUAAACCCUAAACCCUAAACCCUAAAUCGUAAACCCUAAACCCUAAAACCUAAACCCCACCCCUUAACUCUAAACCCUAAGCCCUAAACCCCACCCCUAAACUCUAAACCCUAAACUUUAAACCCUAAAUCCUAAACUCUAAAUCCUAAACCCCACCCCAUAACUCUAAACCCUAAUGUCUAAAUUAAUUUACCAUUGGGAUGUAAAUAUAUAUUUAUCUCUUUUGAUAAAAUAUUAAGUGCUAUUUUGGUCAUUUUUAUUCUUAGAAACUAUAUUUAUGAUAAAAAAAUUUUUAUUGCUAUCUAGUCAUUUUCUCUUUAUUAUUUUUUCCAAUAUCAUGAUAAUAUCGAAUAAGAUUAAAUCAUUUAGUUAUUAAAAAGAUUAAAUCAUGUUAAUAAAGUAAGUAUAUUAGUAUACUAUAUAUAUAUAUAUUUUUUAUUUUAGUUAGGAAAGAAAUGCUAAGCCACAGAAUCUAAUAUGUUUCCUAAAUCAACGGUCAUGAUUGAUUUUGAAUAGUCUUCCUUUUGACCAAGUCUAAUCACUAAACCUAAAUAAAUAAACAACAAACGAAGGCAAAUGCUGUUUUGUUACUUAUUACAAUCUCUCAGUCUUGAGACAACACAAAAUGGCUAACUCAAACGAUUGGUCUCACCUCUACAGCAACAACCAAGCCUUCUACACAACUUCCACCAUCACUUCAACCGCCGUCACAACCACCACAGCAGCUUCUCCCUCCGGUGAAGCCACCUCCAUGGACUCUCGUCUUAGUCCAGAAACAGGCCGUGUAACCAAACCGGCACGUAGAAGAUCAAGAGCCUCACGUAGAACACCAACAACACUUCUCAACACGGACACAUCAAACUUCCGCGCCAUGGUUCAGCAUUUCACGGGCGGUCCAUCCGCUAUGGCUUUCGGGUCAGGUAAUACCACUUCCGGUUUUAGCCUCACCUCUUCGUCGGAUCCAUCCGCCGGAUCUUCCCAACAAGUUCCUUGGCAAUAUAGUUACCAGCCUCACGCGCCGCCUCCACCGCAACAGCCUUAUAUGUUCUCGUUAAACAACAUGAAUCCCGUCGUUGGGUAUAGUAACAUGAACAACCCUAAUACGAUGGUUCCUGGUGGUUUUGGAACCGCGGGCGGUGGAGGAGGAGGUUCUGCUCCGUCGUAUAAGGAAGCCACGAAUAGUAAUACGUCGUCUUCGAGACUGCAAUGAGAAAACGAUUGGAUUUUUUUGAAAUAUUUUUUUCUCUUUUUUCGCAUAAAGGCAGAAAUGUUAGGUACUGACUUUCUUUUGUCAUAGAAUGACAACUUUGACUGUUGUAUAUUUAAGUUUUUCGUUUUCAUAUUCAAGCUUUUUAUCUUUGUUUUAGGCGUUGAGCAUUUGUUUACAGCGUUAUCACUUAUCAUGGUCCUAAAUAAGCAAAUAUUCAAUGACUGAAGUUGCACACUUGCUUGCAUUCAAAAGGAAAACUCCAGUUUGGCAGUAAGCAAAAUAAAAUAACGUUUCCAAAUAAAUCUAUAUGUUUUUACGAGAAUACAUUAUCAGUUAUAUAAAUUAUUAUGGCAUCCAUAUUUUCUACUAGACUUAGGUAAACUAAAACAAUGUUCUCGAACACUAAUAUAUCACGUAUAUAUAUUAUACAUAUUAACGCUCUAUAUAUGUUAAAAACAUACUUUCACGUAAAGUUCUGAACUACAUCUGAAAAAUUGAAAUUUCUUCAAUAUUAUUCAAAUUAAUAGUAUAUAUGUAUAACGUGCAUGUAAUGGAGGAAAUGUGAGAGAAAUAGCUUACAUCCAAUUUCUGUAUUCAUUUAUUGUAGGCAUUCAAACAUGAAAUUAGUUAGUGUGAAUGUAGUUUUAUCUGCUUUGCCAAAUAAGCUCGAUAAAAUGCAAAAUAUGACUUGUAGACGGAAAACGAUGACUAUCCUUUUCCAGUUCACAAUUUGAUUUACUUUUUUCUUUGUCUUCAAUCACUAACUUUAUAAGAUUAUUGAAAUAUAUUUGAAGGAGAAUUUUCGUCAAGACCAGAAUAAUCUUUUAACAUUAAAAUAUGGUGAUAAGACCAUUAAUUGGAUCAUAUAGAAAUUAAACUUGCUUUUCGUUGGAAACAGAGGAAGCUUUUGGGUGAAGGUAGGCUACCAACAUGAACAUACCUAGAUUCUUACGUUACUCCCUCUGUUCCAUAUUGUAACUAGUUUUAUUUAAAAUCACCAAUAUUAAGAAAUUAUCGCUUUUGUAAAAAAAUAUUAUUUAAUUUUAAAUUCAACCUAUUAUAAAAAAGCUAGCAUUAUUUGAUUGGUUACACAAUAUUCAAUAAAGAAAAAUGUGCAUUGAAAUAUGAAAACUACUUAUAUUGUGAAACAAACAUUUUUUGCUAAAACUACUUACAAUAUAAAACGGAGGGAGUAUCGUUUAUUUUUCCUCUUUUAAUUUCUUCUCAUUCAUAUUAAUUAUGAUUUAGACUGAAAGUGAGAUGGAUCUUUUGAUUUAGAUCGAUGUUAAUAUAGAGUUUGGCCGGUAUACCAAAGCCAAACUCUAUACUUAUAGAAUGUCUUUAGUUUUUUUUCUUACUCUUUUGCAUUUUAAUAGAUUUUAGAUUCUUAAGAUAAAUCCAUAAAUUAAUAAGAGAAUAUUUCUAUCAUGUUGUAGACGUGUUUAUAUUUGACAAAUAAAAUAAUAUAAAAGGAAUUAACAAUGAAGAAUCUUAUUUUAAAAAAAAGUAACAUCGACGAAGUGACAAAAAAAAAAAGAGGGAUAAAGGGGUUAGGAAGAGGGGAUGUAUCUAAUACGCAUUGUGGGUCCCUUAACCUCAAGUGAAAAUUCCUUUUCUUAACUCAAUUUGAAUUCAUUCACCAAUUACUAUACAGUCUAUACUAUACAAUUAUACAAAACAUCUUAUUACGACUCUCAAUCUUAUACUUUGGUAGAUUUUGAUGUUAUUUAUGAUUAAAUUAGGCCUCUUCUUUCAUACAUACUUAAAUAAAUGCGAUAAUCAAUUCUUUCGAACAACUAGACUAUGAUUUUAAAACACAAGAGGGAAGCAUUGAAUUGGAACAAACUAUCUACUAUUCUUUCACCUAAGAGUUUUUUGUAGUAAUAUAGUUUAGAAAUGUAUUUAUUUGUAUAUAAAUAUAUAAACAUAUAUAUAUAAAUAUCUUAUGAGUUUAUUGAGUGGUAGACUAGUGGUUGAGUUGUAGUUUUUCUAGAUGGUCAUGUAAAUUUCAAACUCCAUCCAUAUGGUAAUUAAUGUAAUGACAUAUACAAAGUAAAAACCAAAAUAAAAACUCACUCACCAGAGCAGUUUGUUUUUUGAAGUCGCACAUUGUUGGAGGAAGCUUGAAUAGUGAUAGAUAAGACAACUCAACUAGAUUUCCAUAUUUCUCGUCUAGCAGAAACUACGCGAGAUCCAUUUGAACAACCUCAUUCGUACAUAAAUAAACACUCAUUUUAUUCAAAAAUUCAGAUAUAUGGUUUAAGUUUAACCAGUGUUUUAUUUUUUAUAAUCACCUUCUGGUAACUAUUUUAUUAAAAGGAAAAUUCCAUAACAAUACCCAACUAAAUUUUGUUAAUUUUUUUUAUAUCCAAACUUUUAUACUACAUAGUUUAAUACUUCAACUAAUUAUUUUGCUCAUUUUAAUACGUUUGCUUUUAAAACUAUGUUCAUUUUAAUACACAAACUAUGCUAAUUUUAAUAAUAAGUUUUAAACAAAACAUAAAAAUCUUUAAAUUUCAAAAACAAAAUUUAUUACCUGUUUUCUUUUUUAAAUAACAUAUGUUUGGAUAAUCUUAAUUUAUAACAUUAAUUUUAGUUCUAAUUUCAAAUUUAGUUUAUUUUCUGAACUUUAAAAUAAUAUAUGUAUUUUAUUCAUGAUUAAGGUUUUCUAAAUUUUAAAAUACUAUCUAAUUUCUAGUUAGUUUUAUUCUUAAAAAUUAAAAUAAAGGUUUUUAAAAUUUUAUUUAAAACUGAUUAAUAAUCUUUGAUUAAAAUUAAUAUAGUUUGGGUAUUAAAAUAACACAUUUUUAAAAGUAAAUAUAUUAAAAUGAGCAAAAUAAUUACUUGAAGUAUUAAACGGGUAUCAAACUGUUUUGGGUAUUUAACUAAGAUGAGUAGACUUUACAACAUUUUAUUUUAUUUUUUGUUAUGAAAGUAUCAUUGAUUGAUUAGAUAGACUAGAAACCGUCUGCAAUAAAUAAGAAUUCAACUUUUGUGAAGUACCAUUGUCAAUUUGUGAAGUUGAUCACAAACAGAUUAUGAAUCAUCUGCAAUAAGAAAUAAGGAUUCAACUUCGAAAAUUGUCUCAAUUUGUGAAGUUGAAUCUUUAUUUAUUCUUUCAGAUGGUUCAUAGUCUAUUUGUGAUCAAUAAGUCAGUUUAUGCUUUGCAUAAACAACUCAAAUCUAGAGUAUUUCUUUCGGUUUUUGUAUCUACAACAGCGGGUGAUGACGAUGACGAUGUCGAUGGAAAUCAAGAUGGGGAUGAGAUUCUUCCUAUUGAUGGGAGGAAGAAUAGUGGAAGAAAAUUUACUGAUGAUGUCAAGACAAACAGUUGAUCAAAGCCAAAGUUGUUAGCUGGGAUGUCUGGAGACAAAUGGAAGGUUGAUUGAUAUUGUAACCCGUAUGUUAUCAUCUCUCGGGGGAUCGGUUGCUCAUGCUUAUCAGUAUGACCAUAUCAUUCCCCGGUGAAAGUUGAUUACAACUUUUAAAAACACACUAAAUUUAUGAUGAAAAAAGCAAAAUUAACCAAUUAAAUCAUUUAUAAAUGUUUAAAAAAAUAUUUAUAUAAGCUUAUAAACUAACUCCACCUCUUAAAUACUGAAACCUAAACAAUAAUCAUAAAUCUUGAAUCCAGAUUGAGCAUAUUUUUUCUUUUUUUGAGCAAAGAUUGAGCAUGUAUAUUUUUAAAAUAGUAGCCAACUUAGAAUAUUUUAAGAAAUUUUGCUUAAAAGUAUUAUAUUGGUGUAAAUAUAAAGACUAUCUAAUUAUAUAUGUAAUUAUACUGCUGAUUUUAUUUUAUAUAUUUAAAUUAGGAACUAAAUGGAGUAAAAUGGAGGGUUGAUCGCUAUGGUAACCCCGUAUGUUAUCAUUUCUCACGGGGAUCAGACGCUAAUGUUUAUUAGUAUGACCAUAUCGUUCUUUGGUCAAAAUCACAUGAUUCAAGCUUGGAGAAUUGUCAGGUACUCCAAUCUAUGGUGAAUACUUGGAAUGAUGCUUUAUUACAGCUAUAAAUUUGGUUUGUUAAGCUUUUAAACUCACCUUCUCUAUUUUGGAAAAUAAAUGGUCUAUUUGAAUUUUAGGGUCUGUUGUAGCGAUGAUUCACAAACUCUCAACAAUGGGAUCAUCACAAGAUAAUCAAGAACAGGUAGAGUCGUCUAAAGUAGAUAAUCUUCUUCUUGCAUAGCUUACGUAAUUCAUCAAAGUUAGCUUCUUUUUUGUUUGUUUGUCAAACGAAUUGUCUUGUAACCUCUUGUUAUUUGUGUCUUUGUCUAGUAGAAACGUUUCUUACUUUGUGAUUACAAAUUAAACUCGAGAGUUUAGAUUUUUUGGUCUCUCGUUUGCCUUUAUUUUGAAGAAGUGUGAAGCUUAUGAUGGUCCACAAAACUAGUCAAAGAACACAAGCUACUAAUUGGGGUUUCAUGUGGGACAAACCCAAGUUGAAACCCUCCAAAACUUUUGUACUAUUUUAACAUCUCUGUUAUUUUUUUUUACUUCUUUUUUGGUUAAAAUUGAGACUUUAGGCAUAUAAUAAGAAAACUUUCAGCAGAGUAUCUCAACUUAAAAUAAAUAAAAAUAUAUUAUUGUUCGAUUAUGAAUAUCUCAAAACGAGAAAAACCUCAAUCCAAAAUAUCACAAAACGGUGAAAAAUUCAGUCCAAAAUAUCUCAAAUAAUAUAUUUUGACUAAUUUCUCACCACUCUAAAAUAUCUAAUGAUAUUAGAUCAUUAUUUUAUUUACUUUUUAGAACUACUAAUUUAUUAGAAAAAUGUUGCUCUAGAUCCAUUUCCAUUUUAAUUUUUAUCAUGAAAACUCAAACAUUAAAAUAACUAAAAUAAGAACUUGCUAGAUACUCACAAGAUACUAUGAAAAAUAUUUUGCAUUACAUUUUUGGUCAAUUUUUCAAAAACAAUAUUGAAAUUCAAUAGUUUUAUAAAAGUAAACUUAAAAUAACUGAAAUAAAAACUUGCUAGAUACUCACAAAAUACUACGAAAAUAUUUGGCAUUAUAUUAUUAGUCAAUUUUUUAGAAGUAUCUUGAAAUUUAAUAGUCUUAUAGUAAAAACUAUUUAAAUUAAUAAUAUUGGAAUUACGAAAUUUUAUUAUUUUUUAGAGUUAUUAAUUUACAAAAAAAAUUAUUUUUAUAUUUUAAAAUAUAUUUUUAAUAAAAUAAGAUAAAUAGUUUAUUUUGUCGUGUAUAUGUUAAUUAAAUUAUUAAAAGGGCAAUUCUCUUAAAUAGAUUUUUUUAAGUUUUUGCCACAAAAAUAGACCUCAAAAACUAAAAUGACCAAAAUAGCACUUUUUUAUUUUGAAAAUUUAACUUUUUAUUUAUUUUUAAACCCUAAACCCCACCCCCUUAAUUCUAAACUCUAAUGUCUAGAUUAAUUAACCCUAGGGGUAUAAGUGUAUAUUUACUUCUUUUGAUAAAACAUUUAAGUCUAUUUUGGUCAUUUUUAUUUUUGAGGUCUAUAUUUGUGACAAAAAAAAAUUUAGGUCUAUCCUAGGGAAUUUCUCUUAUUAAAAUUAGACUUUUAUUAUUUUUGUUAUUCUAUUUGGUGUAUACAAAAUAUGUUUCAUAGAAUUUAAAUGUAGUUUUAGAUAUAAUUUGGGUUUUCUACAAAAAAACCCUCAAUGUGGUUUUUUUUUGCAAAUUAAUCCGCGAACUCAAAAACCCACGGGUCAACCCUCCAAGUGCCAGUCAAACCGCAAUAUAACCCUCGGCCAUAUUUAUGUGUAUUUGACUGUGUAUAAUUUUAACAUUUUUUCAAUACUAGGUCAUUUUGGCGCUAAUUUUUUAAUGAAAAAAAUUUGUUGAACCCCACCUUCAUUGUGCAUUUACGCAAGCUCCCAUGUCCGAGAAAAACUAGGUCAUUUCGUUUUAGAAAUCUAUAUAAUUGCGUUUGUUAAGUAAACAAAUAUAUUUGUUGGCCGAGAUGGUUAUAUAGCAUGCACAUGGUAUUUAAGGUUCAAAUUUCAAACCACGAGUUUAACAAAUUUUUUUCAUUAAAAAAUUAGCGCCAAAACGACCUAGUAUUGAAAAAAUGUUAAAAUUAUACACAGUUAAAUACACAUAAAUACGGCAGAGGGUUAUAUUGCGGUUUGACUGGCACUUGGAGGGUUGACCCGUGGGUUUUUGAGUUCGCGGAUUAAUUUGCAAAAAAAAACCACAUUGAGGGUUUUUUUGCAGAAAACCCAUAUAAUUUUACCUAAUAUUAUCAAAAUAUGUUGAUGUGUUAAGAAAAAUAAAGUUCAAUUUCAUUGUGAAUAUAAAAUAAAUAAUACAAUGAUUUGUUUGUACAUAUAUAAACAUUAUAUGUAUGAAUUAUUAAUUUAUGAUUUUAAUGGGAUUAUAUAUAUACAUAGAUUUUCUACAAAAAAACUAUUAUCUUAUUAUUUUAUCGAUUUGUGUCAUAUUUUGAACCGGCCAAAUUCGAGACCGAAGAAAUUUAUUAAUUUACCAUGUUUGUAAUUGAUCGAGUAUUAAUUUAUAGCGUUUCUACCGUAUAACUGAACUUAAAAUAAAAUUAAGAAACCCCAAAAGAAUAUCUUAAAGUGAAAACAAUCAUAAAACUAUAAUGUUUACAAGAGAAGAUGCGUAGUGAAGAUGAGAGAAAGGAAACUACAAUGGUUUUGUUUUAUUUAUUUAUAUACAUCAUUACAAGAGAUGAUCAGCUUGCAGUGGUACUUGUAUACAAAGAACAAAGUGUACAAAGCGAGGCAAAUAAUGGUUCUACAAUCUCACUUAAAUCGUCUUCCAAUGGCUUAGAACCUCCAUCUCCUGUCUGGCUGAAUAAUGUUUCUCUUCCAAUGAUGAACAAGGAGUGUUUAUGACCAUAGAGAAUUGCUGCAAUGUUACCAACAAAUGAGAGUUUUGGGCGCUUACCCACCUUGAAUCAUCUCACUUCUUAACACAUCUUCUCUCCUUAUUCUGUGAGAGCUAAAAGAGUUACUAGCAUUCUACAUCACUCCUCUAAUUCCAAACUUGGGGUAACCAUAGGGAAUGUUGUCAGAUGCGAAUCGCCUCUCAUAUCUUUAGCCAAACCCUCAAUGACAUCGUAUAUCUCAUCACUCUGAGGAUGCUCUUGAUCUCUAGACACAAAACAAUUUACAUUACCUGCAACUUCAAUCCCACUACGACCAACUUCUUUCCUUAAACCCUUUUCUCUCAUUCCUCUCCUCAACCUAUCAACACUCGUCCAUUUCUGUUCCUCAGCAUACAUAUUCGAGAGCAAAACCUGAUAUCCUGAAAAGUUCUUCCCUUUAUCCACUUUAGCUAACUUCUCUGAAACAGUUUCAGCAAGCUCAAUCUCACCAUGUACUCUACAAGCUCCCAGAACCGAACCCCAUAGCUCAGCAAUGUUUCCUUCUUCAUCAAGCCCUUUAACAAACUCGUAGGCUUCAUCAACGCGGCCUACUCUCCCUAACAUGUCUGUAACGCAGCAAUAGUGCUCAUUGGAAGGCUGGAUGUUAUAAACUUCACUCAUUUCCUCGAAUAUUUUGAGACCUUCAUCCACUAAACCGGAAUAGCUGCAAGCUGAUAAUACUGCAACAAAGGUGACAGUAUCUGGUUUGACUCCAGACUCUUCCAUUGAACGAAACAGCGAGAUAGCUCUCUCACCCAUUCCGUGUUGACCAUACCCCAAUAUCAUCGUGGUGUACGUCACAGAGUUUCUCUCUUUCGUUUGGUAAAACAUGUUUUCUGCGUACUGUAUCGCUCCUGACUUUGAGUACAUAUCAACUAACGCAGAAGCAACAAAUACGUUCUGAUCCAAGUACUGCCUUAUAGAGAAACCAUGUAGCUGUUUACCUAAGUCGAAACUACCUAUCUGGCUACACGCAGGGAGAAUCGACGCCACAGUUAUGGCAUUGGGUUUGAUAUUCUGUUCUAACAUCUUCCUGAACACAGCAAACGUUUCCUCUGUGUGUCCGUUCUGCGUGUACCCGGACAUCAUAGAGUUCCAAGUAGCUUGAUCUCUUUCAGCAUAGCCACUUCUCUCGAAAAGCUUCUCUGAGAUCCUUAUUAGACCUGACUUAGCAUACAUGUCAAUAAGGUAACUGUUCAUCCCCUCGAACUGAAUCCCUUGCCUUAUAAGGAAACCAUGAGUCUGCUUCCCAAUCUCCUUGUUUCUAAGAUUCGACGCAGCCGAAAGCAAAGCAGUCACUGUUAUGUAAUCGAUCUUAAACCCCUGCUUCUGCAUCUCAUACACCAACAUCAAUCCUUCAUCAUCUAAGCCGUUUUGGACAGACGCAGAGAUCAUUGUGUUCCACGUCACAACAUCUCUCUCUCGCAUCGAAACAAAGACCGCAAAGGACUCGUGCACAGAGCCGCACCUCGAGUACAUCACCAUCAACGAGUUGAAUAUCACAACGGGAAGCUCCUGAAAGUUCUUGCUGACAAAACCAUGAAACUGUCUACCUAACUCCACUUGCUGCAGCGCUGAAACUGCACUCGCUGCCAAGAGGAACGUUACUUCGUCAGACACAAUCUCUUUCGAUCCUAUUGCAUCAAGAACAAGAUCUAUACUCUCAACCAGGUACUCGUUCUGAACAUAGACUCCUAUCAUUGUAUUCCACACCUCAAUGUUCCUCUCUACACAAGAAUCAAACACUCUCCGUGACGCUUCAAUAUCGCCAAGCUCUGCAUACAUAGAAAUAGCCGAGCUCACAACAAACAAGUCCUUCACAUACUCAUCUCCCAACUUAAGCAUCAAACCAUAAAAUACUUUAGCUCUCUUAACACUUCUCGAACUCGCCACCGCGGGGAAGACAUUCACAAAGCUAACCGGACUCGGUUUAAUCUCCAUCCUCAUCAUAAUCCCAAACUGCCUACACGCCUCUGCGUGUCUCUCCGUCUUCACAUACCAAGAAACCAACGUAUUCCACGCCACAACGUUCUUCCUACGCAUACUAUCAAAAACCUUACGCACCACAUCGUACUCGCUUCCAGGAGGAAGGUGGUUCAAGCAAGAAACGUACAUAUUCAACAGAGAGUUAUGAACAACCCUGCUCGAGUUCUGCAAGCACCGGAUCAAAUGGCAAUGCACGGCUUUACCAGCCUUCAGGUUCUUGGUCUCGGCGCAGGCCUUGAGCGUGGAGGAGUAAGUGUAAGGGUCGCAUUUGGUGAAAGGAGCGGUCUUUUUCAUCCGGGAGUAGAAAAGGAGAGCCUCGUGCGGGAGGUUGUUGCAGAUGAGGCCGAUGAUAAUGGUGUUCCAUAGGACGGUUGUUGGUUUGGGAAUUGCGUCGAACAGCUGGCGUGCGAGCUGUGGGUUUCCUUCUUGGCAGAUUCUGCUGAGGCGGGAGCGGAUUGAAGGUGUUUGGGGAGUUGGGUUUGUUGGUGGGGCGAAGGUGGAAGAGCGNNNNNNNNNNNNNNNNNNNNNNNNNNNNNNNNNNNNNNNNNNNNNNNNNNNNNNNNNNNNUGGUUUGGCGGGGGAGAGUGGAACGAAAGUGGCGGUGGGGGUGGGAGAGGUAGAGCUGAUCCGGCCAUUGUGGAAGAGAUGAUGAAGAACGAAAUGAAGUGACGUUAUUGACUCUCUCUUCCGCUUUAUGUUAUCAUCAUCAUCUUUCUUCAGUGAUAAGAGUUUGUUUAUUUUCUAUUUUUAUAAGAUAGAUUACCAUUUUUCAAAGUACACUAAAUUUGUGAUAAAAAAAAAAUAAUAAACCAACUAAACUAUUUAUUAAUGUUUUAAAAAAUAUUGGGUAAAUAAUCCAUAUUUUCCCACCAAAACUAUCAGGUAAGAAACUAUCAAUCUCGUCUUAAUUAUAUGUAUUUUAAAUUAUUCUACAUGUUAUUUCCCAGUUCAAAGUUUCAAACCAUAAAACCACAUAAUCUUUGUGGUUAAAAAAAAGAAAAAAAAAUCAUAGGCGAUUGAGAGGCAUGUUCUAACGAGGGUCAAGUUGGUUUUUAUUUGGUUAAUUGUUUUUGGUUCAAGUGUUUCGACUUUGGUUUAGGUUGUAAACGAAUUUUGGUUUAGGUUCUAACCAUUAAAUCAGUGAAAAGCCGGGUUUGUGUUUCAGUUUUUUGAAUUGGUGAGUAAUAGGUAAAAUAACUUAAAACUAGGAUAAGACCGCGGGCUAAAUUUAUGUGAAAAUUAUUUAAUAAAUAUCGUAUGAAAAAUAAAAUUUAUAUUAUUGAUCGAAUUAAUAUUUUUGGCUAUUAAAAAAUUUUUUAAAAACUUUUUUGUUAACUACAUAAUUUGUUUACUAAUAAACUGGUCCCAUUUUUAAAAAUAUUUUAGAUCAAAAAUUUAUUUAUCACUUAAAAACCUAAUGUUUAGGCCGAAAAAUCUCAUGUCUACUAUUUGGUUACAAUGAAACUAUGUCAGCUCGUUUUUAUAUCAUGAUUUAGCAAUUUAAAAUUUAAUAAUGGUUAUGAGAAGUUUACGUUCACGUAUCAAGCCUAUCUAUCUUUGAUAUUUUUUUCAUUUUUGUGUCAUUUUGGUUAUUUGCUCGAUAUAAAUAUUUAUUUUUAAGUAUAUUUUUAUUUUUUCUUUUAUUUUGGCAUGAGAUUUAGAAAAUGUUUAAGAUUCAAAAUUAUUAAAGAGAUAGAUACUUAAGUUAAGAUAUGCACCUUGUGCAAAAUAAAUAUUUUAUAUUUUUGUGCAUAUUAUAAAAUAAUAAAAUAAUAAUUAUAUAAUAAAUUGGUUUGCAUAUAUAAAUCAAAUGACCGCUCUUGUAUAUUCGCAAUCAUUUUAGAAUAAAUAAAUCAAAACAUUCAAUCUUAUCUAUCGUAUAUGAUAUAUAAUUAAAUUUAAACGAUAUGAAAUAUAUAUAUAUAUAUAUAUAUAUUAACAUUAACACCUAUUAAAAUAAAAUUAUUUGUUUAUAUGAUUUUAUUAUCAUUAUAUCUUAUUAUAAAAAAAACUAAACAUUGAUCACAAAAGUUUAUGUGAGACUUUUAAUAGUUUAGUAAUUUAUACUCGUUUUGAAAAAUUCAAAAUACAACAUAUACAAAAAAAUCUAAAUUUUUAAUAUAUGAUUAAUGUAAUUGUGUAAUUUAUUUUAAUAAUAAAGAAUUAAAAAAAAAUGAUAGAAAGUAUACAGAUUAUUAGCAAAUUUUCAUUAUUUAAAAUAAUUAAUUACUAUAUAUAUCAUAAUCACAUAAGGUACUUCCGUAAGUUUUAUUUAAGGAAAUAAUAUAUAAUACAUUUCAAUUUGAUAAAUGAAUGGUCCAUAAUGGACAUACUAUAUAAUAUAACAUUUUUUAGCAAUUUAAUUUUGGACUAACAAAAUUCUCAAUUGAUUUUCAAGUCGCCACGUAAACAAAUUAACAUUCCAGUUACGUGACAACCUAGCACGGCAUUUUUUUAAUUAGUAACUACAGGUUAUAAACUUUUUAAAUGUUUUCCUAUUAAUAUAUAGGGGAUGUUAAACCAUUGAUCAUUAAUUUUUACAUAAUAAUUUUAAUAGUUUUAGUAAUUUUGUCGUUUUUAAAAAUUCAAAAUAUAACAUAUACGAAAAAUCUAUAUUUUAAUUUUAUAGCUAAUUUGAUUGUUUAAUUUAUUUUAAUAAUAUAAAAUUAAACAAAAAUAAUGGAUGAGAUAUAAAUUGUUAUCAAAUCUUUAUUAUUAGAAUCAUUAAUUGUCAUAUAUAUAUUAGUCAUAUUUGGUAAUUCCGUAGCUUUUAUUUAAGGAAAGAAAAUAAAAUAGUAAUUGUACACUUUAAUUAAUUUUAUGAUUAGUUAAAUGAAAAGUAUAAUAUAUACUUAAUUGGACCAACAUAUUUUCUAAGGAUUCUGAAUUUCAUUCUGGUGAUGACACGUGACUACACUUAAAGGUUGUAAUGUUUCUCAAUUAAUAUAUAAGGGAUAUGUGAAAUUAAGAUGAAGUUAAAAGUUUGUGUAUAAUUGUUAUUAUAUGAUAUUUUGUGGGGGAAUUAUGUCCUUUACUCAAAAACAUUUAUAUAACUUUAUAAAUUCAACCCCAUUUCCUAAUCUUAAAACCUAAACAAUAAUCAAUAAUCUAAACCCAAAUGUUAAUGUAGUUUUGAUUGAGCAUAUCUUUUUAAAAAUAGCAGCCAAUUUAGAAUAUUUCAAACUAGUUUUCUUAAUAAUAUUCUACUGAUGUAAAUUUAAAGAUUAUCUAUUAUAUAUAUGAUUAAAUAUUGGUUCCAUUUUAUAUAUUAAUUCAAAAUUAAGAAUUAAAUUUAUAGUAUAAUAGAAACUUGGGUUUUAUUGGUUUUAUUAAUAAUACUAAGGUUCAUAAUCAGAGAUAAUGAAGAACAAAAUUCAAGUUCGAGAUUAGAGUGAGAGAUGAAGAAGAAAAUAAAAAUAGAAAUUUGUUAUUCCUCAUAAUGAACAUGUACAUGUAUGUUCAGUACAAUUGUACGGUUAAGCAAAAGAAAACCUAACUAAUAUAAACCGGUUAGUUAACCCUCCCCUCAAGUCUUUAUCUGUGGAGCUUGCAAAAGGUAAAGACUUGACAAGAACAAACGAGAGAAGAAUGAAUGGUAAGGACCUGGGUAAAGAGGUUUGGUGAGAAUGUCUGCAAGCUGGUUUCCAGUGGUGACAUGAAAAGUCUUGAUCUUGUCUGUCUUCAGCUGAUCAUGAACGGUAUGACAAUCGAUCUCUAGGUGCUUCAUACAUUCGUGAAAAAAGGAUUCAUGGCAAUAUGAAGCGCUGACUUAUUAUCACAAUACAACUUAGCAACACGGGUGACAGAGACAUGCAUAUCACGAAGCAAUUGUUGCAGCCAAAUCAACUCACAUGUAGCUAAAGCAAGACUUUGAUAUUCAGCCUCUGUAUUGCUUCUACUAACCACAACCAGUUUCUUGGACUUCCAAGAGAUCAAAGAAGAACCAAAAUAAACACAAAAGCCUGUAAUAGAACGGCGAGUCUCUUUGCAAGUAUCCCAAUUUGCAUCAGCAAAAGCAUUCAAGCAUAACUAUGAAGUAGCUAAGUACAUCAAUCCUUGACCAUGAUUAUUCUUGAGAUAUCGCAAGACCUUAUGAGCAGCCUGCAAAUGUGUAUCAGUAGGGACUGAUGAUUAAUGCAUUUUAUCACAUGUCAAUUAACCUAAUAUGCGCUCUACCACAAUCAAAUGGUAUAACGAUGCAUCACUUUAGGAUUGAAUCCACAAGGAACUAGUGAUCUAUAACACUAAGAAUACACAAGCUUUCAUAAUCUAAGAAAACAAGAAGAUGGAUGAUUGGUAACAAAUUAAGAUCCUGGAAAUAUAAACAAGGUGAUCUCAAAUUCAUUUAAGAAAUAAGUGCAAAAACUAAACUUUCAAUCAAAUGAUAAGGUAGAAUCCAUGGGAUUAAGACAAUUUAUCCAAGGCAAUUAGUUUCCAAGUCAAAGUGAUACGUUUAAGCAAUCAAAAGUCUAUAUAGGUCUAGAUCUCAUUCAGAUAGAUUAAUUCACUGUCGUGACAAUAAUCCAUAUGCAAUCAUGAGCUAAAUAUCAACUCCCGUUGGCCUAAUUCAUUAUGUUCAAGUAUACUAACCAUCUAGCAAUCCUAACAUCAAAUGUCUUUGGUUAUUCAAGCUAAAACAAUACUAAGUUCAUUUAAGCAUUUUAACAAACACCUUCCGGACUUAAAAUUGCAUAAGGUAUAGAUAAGAUUGAUCAAGUCUAAUCUAGCAUUAAAAACAUUUAGCAAGCAUAAAAACUAGUAGAUCUAACAAUAACCACCUUAACUCUUCACUAAUCACCCUAGAUCUACUUAACCCAUGGAUUCAAAAAGUGUCUACUCAAUAAUCUCCAUGAAAAAUCUUAAAUCUAUAUGAGAUUCAAGGUUAAUCAUCUUAGUGAUCAAGAGAAACACAAAUAUAAGAUGAAGUACUUUCUUAAAUGAUCAAAAGGUUCAAGUUUUUACAAAAUGAGGCAAAGUCUUGAGAGAAAACGAGAGAAAAUAGGAUUUUUAAGUCGAAAUCUAUUUAUAGAUGUCUUAAAACGAGCUGGAUCCACAAUAAAUCUGGGUUAACCCAAUAAAAAGUGGUGUUUUCGUCUGUAGAGACAUGGUCAUCCCACUAUAACUAGGUCACUACAGCACUUAGUUGUGUGGGGCUUCUUGGGGAACCAUAGCAACAUGCUCUGAUCGCUACAGUGGUCGCUACAUACACUCGAGUUCCUCCGUAGCGACAUGCUAUGGUCGCUACAGCUAUGGUCGCUACAUGGUUGAUAUGCCUCCAGUAGAUAGAUCAUAACUCCUCAAUACAGCUCCAAAUGAUUUGAAACCACCGGAAUUGGAAAGCUGACUCAAUUGCCUAUGUCGGCCCAAAAUUCGAGCUUCAGAAGAGAUCUUUAAAGCCGUCAUCCAUGUUCAUCUUUUACCCUUUUGACUCAAAACUCCUCAAAUGCCUUCAAACUCACCAAUAAGUAUCUCCAAAACCUGAUAUAGACACAUGCAAUGCAAUGCAAUGAAAUAUAAAUAUGUAUAAAUGAAUCUCUACAUGAUCAUUAUAUACAUUAAAUGAUAGUUUAAAAUCAUGCAAAUUCAUAGGAUAUCAACCCUCCCACAUUUAUCAUUUAGUUGUCCCCAAGUAAACUUUCAAGAACAAAGUGAGAAAGAGUUGUGAAGGUGGAAGCUCAUUACCAAAAGAUAUUUUUCAAAGACAUCAACGUGAUAUACUUACAAAAUCAUACCAAAUAUCAAGAGCAAAACAUCCUAUCAAACUCUAACUUCUCUAGGCCUAUCUCAACUCCUUGAUCUCUUACGCUCAUUCUCAAGACUCCACAAACAAACCAAUCAACCAACCCUCACAUUCAUUAAACAAUAAUCAUAAGUGCACUCUUGCGAAUGGACAAUUGGUCCUAAUCAUUUGGCUUGGUGAAAAAAGGUUUGUAGUUAUAGUGAAGUAAGAGGGUUAUCAAGUGCUUUUCAUGGUGGUUUACUCUCAAGAACAAGUAGCUUGACAUUAUGCAUAAUAUAUCUAAGAAAGAGAACAACUCAUGCAUACAAUGCUCAAAACUCUUGCAUACAAUGCUCAAGAAUCCUCAUUGUUCUACCCAUUUCCUAGACACAAGCAAUUUUUUAAUCUUUGUUUCCCAAUGUCAAACUCCCAUUCACUCACCAAAAUGCUACAAGAACACUCAAGAUCACUCUCACUUUUUGAACUCUUUAUUAAUUUUUUCCCACUAGAGAUUUUUUUUUCACUCGUUCCUUAGCUUAAGCUCUUUUCUUUUUUCUUUACCCCACUCUUAAAAACAAAAAAAUUCUCAGCGGUUUUUAUUUCUUUAGACACUUUUGAGCUAAACUUUCUUUUUCUUUGAUCUCUUUUUUUUUAGACUUUUGAGUUCACUCUUUUCACUCAUCUUUUUUUUUUCAACCCUCAAAGAUCAAACACUCAAUACUCCCUUCCUAUCCUAUGAGCUAGACAUCAUGAGAUCCUAAAGCUAGCAAGUAAUGAGGACCAACCAUUAUCGUUACCAAUACUCUCAACAUUAUGCACAUCUCAAACUUUCAGAAAAGACCUCACUCAUCAAUUUAAUAAUGUCUUGAAAGGAAGGUAGGGUUAAGGGUGUGGAGAACCAUCUAAAGGAGAGAUGGCGACUUGAGUUGCCAAAGAUUGGUGAAAAGGAUAAGACUAACUCAAGUGUGUGUGAGGUAACCAUGAUCAAGCACAAGAAGAGCCCAUAAGCUAGAUAUAUUAGGUUCAUUAACUCAAAUAAGAUUGGAGUUGGUUUCAAGAACAAGCAAGUUUCGUCAAUCAAACAAGUUUCAAGAGGAGUUUUCAAGGCUCGAGGUAUACAAGUUAUCUAGAAGAUGUUCAAGCUACUUAUUAUGACUGAGAAGGAUAACACAUUAACUUCUUUGCAUGAGUUCUUUACAAAGUUUUCUCCCAAUGCAUGAAAGCAAUCUAUAUGUUUCUAGACUUAUCCUGAAGAUUAAAAUGAUGCAACUAAAUGCUUCUUUUUGUUGUUUUCAAUAAUUUUCAAUUCUGUGGGUUUUCUAUGGAAAUAAGUAUGCAAAAUAUAAUGUAUGAGACUCAAGAUGACAAGAAAACAAAAUAGAACACAAGGUGAGAUGGUAGACUCUCCCCCAAACUUACUUCACACAGUCCCUUGUGUGAAAGUAAACUUGAAGGAGAGAUCAAAGAGAAAGAAAAUGAAAGUAUUUACAAAUUUAGGGUGCACUUACUUGGAGUUAUAGGUUUAAUUGGGUGGUAAAGGACCCUUGGCCUCGGAUUUGUUCCACCAGGAGAGACGUGCUGAAGCGGAGAAGUGAAGGCGGAAUGUGUCCAAGCUCUUUACCCAUGUAGUGAAGACUUUCUUGCCAAACCGGAUCACCGGGAUCAUACUCAUCAUAAAACCAAACUAUAAACUCAUUCAUCCUAAUCUAAGGUACCUUCCUUAGAUCAUCAACUUCUUUGGUAGAGAGUAUACCAAAAUGGUAGUCAAAGGGUUUGUCCAUAGGAGAGUCUUCUUCUUGCACCUCUUUGGGAGAUUAUUCAAUGUUGAAUCACUUGAUUUUCUUUAGACUCUUCACCCCUUGAUCCUUUCUUGGAAUUAAGCCUCACAUGCAUUUCGUCCUUGGUUGAUAACUCAUCCAUAACCAAUGAGAUCUAUCUUUUCUCCUCCAUGCAUUUAACAACCACACCAUCAUCACAAAUAUCUUCAAAGACUCUUCCAACCAAGCGUACUUCUUCAUUCUUGCUCCUUGUUGAAUAACCCAUGAAUGCGAUUGGUUCAACUUGCUCUUCAUAUAUUAUCACAAGAUUUUAAUUUACCAUGAAUCCAUAGAGUCUUAAGCUUCUUGUUGAAAUCCAUCCUUGAUUUGAACAUCCUCUUCAAUAUUAAUUUCCAUAUCCAUGGUAUGUUCUUCAUAAGUAUUGGUGUUGUAAAAGGGGGUGUUGCUUUCUUCUUGAUCUUCACUAAUGUGAGAGAGUUGUUGUUGAUUGAUUUCACAUGUCUUAUAACUCCAUCCAACCUUGAGCUUAGAACCUUGCCAUUAACAUCAAUCUUGGUGGAAAGAGAAUCAAGUUGUCUUUCUAUCUAAAUCCUUCCCUUUUUUUGAUUCUCUAACAACUUCACAGGCAUGUUGGUGAUGUUUUCUUCACUUGAAUCUUGAGGAAAUUUAGCUGCUUGUUCUUCAUAGUCUAUAUCCCAAGGUUGAUAUCCCUCACCAUAUCCAUAUUGUCUUCUUUGACCAAAGUCUCCAUGUGGUUGAUACUCCAAUGAGGUGGAUGGUUCAUAAGCUCUUUCACAACAUGUUGAGCUUCUAGAUAUCAUCCUUUCUUGACUCUCCAAAAUAGCCUUUAUCAUUGAUUCUAAGUCAAGAGACAUGAUCUUCCUCUCUUGUGAAUGUACUUUGCAAAAGAACAAUCACUUGAAAGGGAAUUAGUCAUCAAACAAAGCAAAAGAAAACAUAAGAAAAUAAAGCUUAGACGAAUUUGAAAGGGGUUUGAAGGGGGUUUCAGAUGUACAAGAGAUAAAAAAACUCAAACAGCUGAUGUUCAUUCUGAAAACAUGAUCAGGCUUGGACAGUCCCUACGAAUGCUAAAGGCUAAUGUGUCAAAACUCAAGGUUCCAUUGAGAAAAAAAGAGCAAAGAAGUUUCAGCUGCUAUCUCACCUACCAGGUUUGAUAUUCUUGCAAACAUCUGAGCGAUGAAAUAAGCAAGAGGGAGGUGAAAUAAAAGCAGUCUCUGAGGAUGAUAGUUCAGAUGAGGAAGAAUUACCUCCUCAAAAAAUUGUAACCAACAAAAAGAAGCUUAAGUCAAAUCAUAAAGAAAAGAACAAAGGUCAAAAGCAAGCCGCUGCUCCAAAGAAAGCUCAACCUACUUUGCCUCACACUACUACAAAGAAAACCAGAGGAUAUAAUGAUCAUGACGACCCUUUUUGCGUAGGACACUCGCGGUUUCAACAAAAAGUGCAAACAUAAUGCAGUUCGAUCUUGGAUUAGAGGUAAUAAUCAUCUUCUUGGUUGUCUUCUUGUAACUCGUGUUAAAGAAGAUUUUGCUGAUUCUAUCAUUGAAUAUAUGUUUUGUGGAUGGAACUAUGAAACAAUUUAUGAGUACCAUCGGUUAGGAAGAAUAUGGUUACGUUGGUCUCCUUUGGUAUUGUUACAGUUUUGUACAAAAGUCUUCAGCUUAUGACGGUUCUUCUCUCCUUACAUCCAAGUGAAGAGUUCAUGAUUUCGUGCAUAUAUGCUUCUAAUUUUCAGAGGGACAUAACUUAGUUUCGGGAGGAAUUGCGAUCAAUGAAAGGUUUCUUUAGCACUAGCUCUGGUCCUUGGAUUGUAAUGGAUGAUUUCAAAGAGAUUUUGGCUUCAGAAGAUCAUUCUCAUGGAAUGGUUUCAAACAUUAAUCUCUGACUGUGAGCUCAUCGAUAUGGCUUUCAAAGGGCCCAAGUUCACUUGAUGGAAUCAUCAAGAUGAGGUUCCAAUAUGUAAAAUAAUUAAUUGUGUCCUGAUAAACGCUAAUUGGAGGGAUGUGGUUUUAUAAGCCUUAUUUUUACAAACAAGAUGAAGCAUGGAACUUGGUGCACAAAGGAAAAAUUUAUGGCUGAACAAGUUUAUCUUCAUAGUAACAAGAUUUAAGGUCGAUUCCUCAAUCCGAUGAAUUUGAUUAUUGAUGGUUUGUGUGUUCAAGUUUUUUUUAUUUAUAAAUUUGGUGAUAUAAUUCCAGCUGAAUUAUUGCCUCCUUUAUGUGAUAUUCAACACCAAGCUGAUCUUGUUCCUGGUGAGACAAUAGUCAUUCCUUAAUGAGCCUAUAAAACCGUGAAGAAUUACCGAUGUCAAUUGCCUCUGAUUGUGAUAAUCGGUCAAUUUGGAAACUACUUGGUACAAAUUUGGUUGUGAAUAUUUGCGUAAAAUUCUCCAUCCGUUGGACAAACAUAAGUGAUGAAUCAAUCAUUAGGAAAUUCUUUAUGCGGUUUGGUCAAUAGAACCUGAAGACUGUGGACUUCCAAUUGUGCAUUGUGAAUUACACAUAACCAUGCCUUCAACAGAAGUCUUGAAUUUUCACCUUUUUCAGGUUGUGUAUGGGGUUCAUUUAAGAUGUUCCCCUGAUAUUCGUGUUCAUGUUCAAGCAGAAGAUUUUGUGUUCAGCAUGCCAGUCAUACAUCAAACUUCACAAAAAUAAAUGAUAACAGUCGUCUAUAUUUUUUCUCUGUAAUAGAGUAACUCUAUUAUGGAAGCAGAUAAUUAGAUCAAAUUCAUCUCUAUAAUAUAGUUAUUCUACUUUAAAGUAAAAAAAAAAUAUAUAUAUAUAUAUUAAAAAAAUAAUGCAAAAACAUAUAGGGAAAAACAUAUAGAGAAUGUUCCAAGUAAGAGUUUAGCUGAGUUGAUGUAAAAAAAAGAGACUAUGAAUGUUUAAACACAGCCACAUAUUGUAUGUAUAUUAUUUAUAACCUCUACAGAUUGUGAACCUCGUAUAUAUCUUAGGAAAACAAUCAACUUCUUCAUUUUGACGUGAAAGUAUAGCAGUUAAUAAAAUUCGAAGUACUAUUCAUUUAUACGAGAGUUAAAACCUCAAUAGUCAAUAAGAUAUCAUUCAUAACAUCCAAAACUAAAACCACCACUAGUAACAUUCUAUCUUAACGAAAUAGUCUUAAAUCGCUAAGUGACAUAUCAUAAAUUCAUAAUUCUUUUGUUUCAGUUAAACACCAAUACCGCUAGUUAAUAUUUUAGGAGUGUAAAGAAAAUAUCAAAACGAUGAUUCAUUGUUUUUGCUAUUUUCUGCUGGUGAUUGGCCGAUGUUAGGAAAAUGUCAAAACGAUAAUCGUUUUCCGAUUUUAUUCUCUUUUCUGCUUUCGACGGACUAACGUGUAGAAAAUAUCAAAAUCGAUAUCGUUUUUAUUGACCUUGGUCUUUUCUACUGGUGGACCAAGAACAUGUCUUCACGAGUAGUACUCAAGUACUCAGACGACCACAAAUUUUCUGUUAUAUUUGGUUUUUGAAUUAUGUUUAGGCUAUGGGAGGAAAUUCGCAAUGAAACAAAUGUAGAGUAACAUGCAUGCAUGAGGUCCAUUUUUUGGCUCAAAAAUAAGAUCAGUUUAUAACCAUAGCAUUAUCCAUUUCUAAGUGUGAUGACUUCUUGGGUGCACUAUUCGUAGAUAUGCUUUAAAUCUUAUAACUUGAAUAUUCGAUACAGUAAAUAAUCAAAAGAUUAGUUUAGUCAAUUUUUAUUAGAUUCACAUUUGCAAAUUUAUUAACUUUAAAAUUUUUGAAUAAGAAUAUUAUACACAUAUACAUAUAUGAUUGAUGAGACAUACACAUUGCAGAAAACAAGGUGGUAAUAUUCACAAUUUCUGGCAUGCAUUUAUUUCACCCCAUACUAUAUUGUUUCUAUCCGGAAUCUGGAGUAACAACUAUCAGUCAAAUUAAAUUAAUUCAGUGAUAUCCAUUUAUGUAGCUUCAAGUUCUAAAAAUUAAAAUCAAUUAAACUGAUUUUAACAAUGACUUGUUCAACUGUUCAUACAUAAAAUGGAAAAAUUCGGUAAAAUUAAUAUCUUGUCGAUAAUUUUUUUUGGGUAAAUGUUAAGUAUUAUACUUUAUUUCAAUUUUUUUUUCUUUGAAUAAUAUGUAAAAUUUAUUCAGAAAAAAUAAUGUUUACAAUGUAGACUACUUGAUUAUGAGAAAAACAUAAAAGCACUAUUUCAGCCUAUCUAGUAGAGAAUCAGAGAUGUAAGACCCCUUCAUGACGUCUAAUUAUCUUGGAUAUCAGAAUGAGACACUGUUUUUGAAUCUGCCUAUCGAUCAUCUUUAUCAGCUGACUUGCUAGUAGCGGCUGAGACCCAUGACGAUGACCAUUCCUCUCACGCAUAGAGAGUGCAGAGUCACUUGAAAGCUGUAUCGCAAGAGGUACAUCGUUAGGUGCGGAAGAGUAUUGUCUGCCAAGAUUACUCGGAUAUCCUGCCAUUUGUUCGUGAAACGGGAUAGAAGAAGACCCUGGACCAGAGCCGACCAGACUUCUUGAGAGUAGCUACAUUCAAAAAAGAGAUGAUCUCUUGUUUCCAGGUGUUGUUGACAUAGAACACAACUCACAUCAAUACCCACAUUCUAGGAUAUCAUUCUGUCGCCAGUUGUUAACAUGUUGUGCAUUGCUAGCCACACCGUGAACGAGUACUUCGGCAUCGAGUGAGAGAACCAGACGAUCGAGUGCCAGGUUACAGUGGGAGCAAAACGUCUAAGAAGAGACCAUGUGCUUCUCAUGUUGAAUUUUGGUUUGAAGCUGUCCGAAGUAGACUUCCAUACCGAAAUAUCUUCUCCUACACCUAUAUUUUCUCGCUUUUUAUGUAACUCAUCCUCAAUCAUAGGAUACAAAUCAUAGCGGUGCCGUCGUGGCCGUCAAGAGAUAACAGACGCAACACUUGCAUUUAACCGAAUUCCCAUAUCAAUACAUCCCCUAACGCCCGUAAGAUCGAUUAAACGACCCAUAUCUGACCAUGCAUUAUUCCAGAAUGAGGUGCCUUGGCCAUCUUUCAAUUCCAUUCGAUGAAAAUCUUUAGCAUUGUCUCUAUAUUUUAGAAGUUCCUUCCAUACCCACAACCCAUUGUUGUUGUACUCUUGACCGUCCAAAAUGUCCCUCCUUUAAGCAAAUAUGUUUUCACCCAUUGAGCCCAUAGAGAAUGGGAGGAAGUGAUCCUCCAUAUUAGCUUAAGGAAACAAGUGAUAUUAGCUUCCUUUAACGGCCUAAGUCCAAGCCCCCCCCNNNNNNNNNNNNNNNNNNNNNNNNNNNNNNNNNNNNNNNNNNNNNNNNNNNNNNNNNNNNNNCCCCCCCCCUUAUGAUUUCAACAUGGUAACUGUAUCCCAUGCCACCUUCGCUCGCUUCACAUUGAGUGUUGGACCAGACCAGAGGAAUGCACAACACAAGCUAUCAAUCUCUUUCAGACAUUCUCCAGGGAGACAGAAAGAGGACAUGCAUAAGUUGGCAAUACUCAUAAGCAUGGACUUAAUAAGCUGCAGUCGUCCAGCCCUAGAUAAGAAUCUGUACGUCCAUAGACUAAUUCUUUUCUUCAUUUUCUCAAUGAGUGGUUGGUAAUCAUUCUUCCCCAUUCGCUUUGUUAAGAGUGGCAGUCCUAGAUAUCGAACCGGUAAGACACCCACAUCCAUGCUAAAACGUUCCUGAAGUUCUUGCUUUGUGUUAUCAUCACUUCCCCCACAAAAGAUCGUUGAUUUUUUCACACUCAUCAUUUAGCCUGAGAUAGUUUCGAACUUCUUGAAAACCUCCAGGAUACUCUCAAUGGAAUGAGAAUUACCAUCUGAGAACAAUAGAAUAUCAUCUGCAAAGCUCAAGUGUGUAAGAUUCAGGUUCUUACACUUUGUGUGAUAGCCCAUCAUGUGCUCUGCUGCUGAUUUAUCCAACAUCUUCGAUAAAACAUUCAUACUGAUGACAAACAGAUAUGAUGAGAGUGCGCAACCCUGACGAAGCCCUCUUUCACUCUUGAAGAACCCAGCCAGCUCUCCAUUCACUUGGACCGAGAAAGAAGCCGUAGUGACACAAAAAGAUAUCCAAUGUAGGAAUUUCUCCGGGAAUCCCAGCGCUGUCAAGGUGUUGAAUAGAAAGGACCACUGAACCGAAUCAAAUGCUUUUGAAAUAUCCCUUUAUUGCACAUCGACGAGAGGCUGAGUCUUUGUGAUAAUCCUCAACCAGUUCCGUUGCUAGGAGCAGAUUUUCUAUCAGUAGCCGAUCUUUUACAAAAGCGGAUUUAUUCAGACUAAUAAAUUCUGGGAAGAGCUUCUUUAACCGGUUUGCGAUAAUCUUUGAGAUCACUUUGUAGAUAACAUUACAGCAAGAGAUGGGACAGUAGUCUUUCAUCUUCUUUGCUCAUGUGACCUUCGGUAUGAGAGCCGUAAUGGUUGUAGUAACCCCUUUUGGUAGAAAACCCUUCUCAAAAAAACUUUUAACCGCAGUAACAAACUCAGAACCAAUGAUUGGCCACGCUAAUUAGUAGAACUCUACAGUGUAACCAUCAGGACAAGGAGACUUGUCGCUCAGCAUAGCAAAUAAAACUUUUGUUACCUCCUCAGCCGUGACCCCUUUGACUAGAUUCUCUUUGUCCAACGGUAAGGUAAGAGGGACUGAAGCACGUCUACAUCAAUACCUGAAUAGUUUGAUGGCUGAAACUGAAGAAAUUCUCGAAAGUGCCUCUCAGCUUCGAUUUUUAUUUGUUCAGGAGUCCUCACCACCUCUCCAUCUAAGCACUCUAUCUCCUUGAUCAAGUUCACUAUUUCUCUUUCUGUUUCUCCUCGAUGGAAAGCCGUAUUGUUCUUAUCACCCACAUCCAACCAAUGCAUCUUUGAUUUUUGUUUGAGAAAUUUCUCUUCAAGUCGAUAAACAAAGUCCCAACGCUUAUAUACUUCACUUUCAGACUGAAUGUUUGUUGUGUUGGAUUUCUCAUUGUUUCAUCCUGCUGUGUGCAUAACUCUUCAAAAUAAGCCUUUAACUUAACUGAGAGGUUCCCCAACCUUGUCUUUUCCAACUCCCGUAUUAUAGGCUUCAAGUUCUUUAGCUUCUUUGAGAAUAUUAAUAGAGACGAAGUCGAUGAAAAUAUUGGUUCAGUAUUUUCCCAAUACUUUCCAACACUAAGUAGAAGAUCUUCCAACUCUGUGAUCGCAUUAACAAAUUUGAAUGGUCGUCUCAGGCGCAAAAGUUCCGAGUGAAGCUGAAUGCGCCAGCGUAGAUGAUCCGAACAUCCACCAGUCUCAAACAUAGCAUAUGAUUGCGGAUAGGCAGCGAGCCAGUGGUCAUUAAACAUGACACGAUCAAUCUUCUUCAAGAUAAGACCCUCCGUUAGUUUAUUACACCAUGUAUAGUGUGGCCCAUGCAAUCCUAAGUCCGUCAGGGAACAAUAUCUCACAACAUCACCAAACUUCCUCAUUCCUUGAGUCACCAUAGGAGAGACUUCAUGCCACAAAUGAUCCUCCAUAUUAAGAGUUUCAUUGAAAUCUCCUGCAAUUAGCCAAGGCAUAUUGUGAAUGAUCAGGGAAUCUUGAUGAAGCUUUAAGUCCUUCCAUAACUCCCUCCUCUCUUCCAUAGUGUUCAAAGCAUAAACAUAAAAUAAAAGAAUUCCUCUCCACUUUCAAUCCAAAUUGAGACUGUGAACACUUACCUACUUUUAAAGAAAGGCGUUACUCUGAUGUCUGGUCUCCACACCAACCAUAUUCUUCCUAAUGCAUUAAACUCAUAAUUUGAGAUCAUACUCCAACCCCAAAAGGCUGUCGAAAGUAUUUCCUCACUCCUACCCUCCUUAACUCUUGUUUCCAGCAACCCUCCAAACAUGAAAUUCUUGUCCCUUCCCCAAUUCUGUACAACCAUGUGCUUCUUUUUUUAUUUAUUAAAACCUCGAAUAUUCCAGAAGAAACCCGACAUAAUUAACACUUAUUGGUAUUACGUUUUUUACCCAUAGUACUUGCCAAGCUGCGCGUACUUUGAAUCUUCGUGUCUCCACCAUUCUUAGCAUGAAAUUUUGCAUUGCGAGUAGAUGUUCUCCGAGUGUUAACUUCAUCAACAAUCUCUUGCUUUUGCUGUUCAUUACAACUUGUGAGUAUCAGAUUCCACAGGCACUUGUUUCUCCAAAAUCUCACCUUCCUCAUUCAUAAUGUUCUCUCUCAUCUCAAUCCUCUCCCAAGAUGGCAAAACGAGAAGGAGAACUUAUGAUGUUUGAAUCUGCAUUUAUUUUUGAGAUUGACCUCAUUUGUUUUCCUGGAGACACAUUCAACCAGUCAUCCUUUGUUUCUUUAUGUUCUUCAGUCUGUUGAUGUGCACCAGCAACAAUUCUCUCCUCGUGAGCUUGGUUCUGAUCUACCACAAUAUUUCCAUCUUCCAAUCUCUCUUCUCCAUCGCUAACCAUUCUCUCCUUUUCCACUCCAUGAGUUAUCUCUGGCUCAACUGCUAGUGGUGCAGAGCUAGAUGCAUCACUUUCCUGAUCAAUUUGUUUCGAAGAGGACUCACUGCCUUCUACCUCCUUGGAAGGACCCUCUUACAUCUCUUUCCUCUGUAAUAUACAUAUGCUUUUUCCUUUUCCACUACAUUUUGCUCCUACAUGCCCCCAUUUAGAACAUAAACAGCACUUGGAUGGUACCAAGGAUACACGAACUGGACAUCAGCCACCACUCCUAGUUUUGAUUUAAAGUGAUGAGACUUCGGCAGUUCUUUAGUCAUAUUUGCUUCUAUAAAGACCUUUGCCUCCUCCAAAACUCUUGCUAAGUAGAGUGUCCGGGUGUAGCCUCUUAGGCUUUCCAACUGCACUGGCGAUGAACCCCAAGCCCUUCCAUGAAAACAUCCUUCUCGGCAUUUUCUUUAACGUUACCAAAUCAGUAUUGUAGUGAUCUCGACUUACUCCUCUUCCUCCUCCUCUGGAGACCAUUUUAACACUACCAUCGGGAUAUUAGCAAUGUUCCACAUUCCAUGACGUAAGAUCCGUGCUCGCGUGUUAGCGUCUUUGAUUCUGAACUUGACUAUAGUCUUGUCCACUUCAAAAACCUCGAUUCGUAUAGCUUGGCUUCCCAGAGGCCAGAUUUUAUUCACUAUAGCGUGAAUUUUUGCAACAUGAGGAGCAGUGCCCAUGAACUUUUCUUCGAUUAGAUCAUCCCAUAGAGGCACUGUGUUCUGGAUUAUACCAUCCGAAACUCCACAAAAUCCUUUCCCUCCUCUGAAACAUAAGCCAACACAUGUAUCGCCAAAACUGGUCCCGACUGAGCCACCCCUACCCACGAAGACGUCUUCCCUUCCUUAACUGUGUUAUUUUCCCUUGCUGUGUCCCCCAAAGGCGAAAACUCGGUUAGAUCCGUCAUCGGCCCGAACAGAGAUUACGUGUGUUAGAACCCAAAACCCUAGUCGCACUUCAAAUCAGACUUGCCACGUCAGCCCACUUUCUUUGGCUUGUUUUUUCCUUUCAGCUUUCAAAUUUUGACAGAACUCAGAUAAAAUAAUUAGACUAAACAACCCACCUAAUCAGCAACAAAGAACCAAGAAAUGAAAGAAAUGAAUCAAGACAUAGAACCGAAAGCCAAAAGAACACUGACACCUGAAAAGCAUAAAUGAAAUGAACAUAUGAUCGCCACAAGCUACCGAAAUAAUGGCACCCUAAAAUUCUAAAGCGAUGACUCCCGCAAUCAGUGCCAUCUUAAAUAUAAAUUACAGUCUAUUUCUUGCCUCUUUCUUAUAUUUUUCGUUUUUGGUUUGAAAUUCAGAUUUACUGUUUUUUUUUAAAUAAUAUGCCCUUUUACAUGUGGGUUCUCUCGAAGAGUGCAAUGCUGGCGCUUGUACUUACGCCGGCAUUGGUUACAUGGGUCAUCAUUUUAUAGUCUGAGGGUGAAUUGUUUCGGUAGCUUGUAAGUCGUAAUGAUCAAAUGUUCAUUUUAUUUAUGUUUUCUUUAGGUGCGUCAUUGCUCUGCUCAUUUGUUUCUCAUGUCUCGGUUCUUUGUCGUUGUUUAGGUUUCUUUGUUAGUUUGAAUUCUAUAUUUCCGCUAGUGUUCUAUCUAAUUCAGUCCAAAUUUGAAAUAUGGUAUCACAUUAAAAAAGUUAUAACUUGUAUUAAUUAAAAAAAUUUCAUGCUGAAUUCUCACGUAAUUAAAAUGCUAAUUUUGCUUAUGUAGCAGCUUGAGAAUCAAUUAAGAAUUUUGUUAGUCCAUAAUUAAAUUGCUAAGAAAUGUUAUAUUAUAUAGUAUGUUCAUUAUGGACCAUUCAUUUAUCAAAUUGAAUUCUUUCCUUAAUUAAAACCUACAAAAGUACCUAAUGUAAUUAAGAUAUAUAUGACAAUUAAUUAUUCUAAAUAAUAAAAAUUUGCUAACAAUCUGUAUAUUUUUUAUCAUUUUUGUUUAAUUAUUUAUUAUUAAAAUAAAUUACAUAAUUACUAAUAAAAAUUACGAUUUUUUUUUUUUGUAUAUGUUGUAUUUUGAAUUUUUCAAAACGAGUAUAAAUUACUAAAAUUGUUAAAAGUCUCACAUAAACUUUUGUGAUCAAGGUUUGAUUUUUUUUCUAUAAUAAGGUACAAUGAUUAUAAAAUCAUAUGAAUAAAUAAUUUUAUUUUAAUAUAUAUACAUAUUUCAUAUCUUUUAAAUUAAACUAUAUACAUCAUAUGCAAAUACAUACUUAUAUUUUGAUAUCUACGUUGAACAUAUAUUGAAAAGUUAAUAUUUUAAUUUUGAAAUCUUCAUUUUUUUUUAAAUAAUUAUAAAUUAUUGUAACCACUAAAAAUUCCACAUUAAAAACAAAAAUCGUUGGUGUAAAGUUUUGUUACACAAAUAUGCAAAUAAUCAUAAAAUCAUAUGAGUAGAAACCUCAUUUAAUAAAUAUCCAUAUUAAAAGUAUACUAUAUAUCUAUGUUAAUAUCAUUUAAAUUUAAUUAUAUAUAUAUAUAUAUAUCAUAUACGAUAAAUAAAAUUGAUUAGUUUGAUUUAUUUACCCUAAAAUGAUUGCGAAUAAACAAGAGCGAUUGUUUGAUUUAUAUGUGCACGCCAAUUUAUUACAUAAUAGUAACUGAUUUCUUAGUUAUUUAAUAUAUAAUUAUUAUUUUAUUAUUUCAUAAUAUGCAAAAAACAUAAAAUAAGUAAUAAAUAUAAAAUAUUUAUUCUGCUCAAUACGCGGAUCAACCUAAGUACAUAUCUCUUUAAUAAUUUUAAAUCUUAAACAUUUUCUAGCCAAAACAAAAUUACGAAAUGAGAAUAAACUCAAAAAUCAAUAUUUAUAUCGAGCAAUAAACAAAAUGAAAAAAACGACACAAAAAUGAGAAAAAUAUUGAAGAUAUUUAGGAUUGGCAUGUGAACGUAAACUUCCCAUAACCAUAAUUAACAUUUAAAUUGCUAAAUCAUUAUAUAAAACCAAGCUUUCAUAUUUUCAUUGUAACCAAAUUGUAGGCAUGAGAUUCUCCGGCCUAAACGUUAGGUUCUUAUGCGAUAAAUGAUUUUUUGACCUAAAAUAUUUUUAAAAUAGAAUCAGCUCAUCAGUAAACAAAUUAUGUAAUUAACAAAAAAAAAUUAAAAAUUAUUUAAGGGCCAAUAAUAUUUAUUCGAUCAAGAAUAUACAUUUUAUUUUCCCAUACAAUAUUUCUUAAACAAUUUUCAUAUAAAUUUGUCAUACGUAAGGCGCAUGUCUUAUCCUAGUAUACUUAAUAUAUUACCAAAAAAAUGUAUCCACAAAAUAUUAAUUUUACAGAAUUUUCCCAUUUUAUGUCUGAUCUGUUUCAGUUUGAUUUUCCUUUAAAAUUUUAAGGCUACAAAAAUGGAUAUCACUGAUGAUUAUUUAGGAGACUAGAUUCCAUGUUCUGUGCCGUGCUGCCGUGCUGGAAAUGCUUUUAGUACUAUAACCCAUGUUCAAAAAUGCGGCCUAGUUAGCCGACUUCGCACCGGUUAAACACAACUCGGUAGUGCUCCGCUGCGAUUUUGUGUUAUUCGGGUAAAAAUUCGGAUUUCAAAAAAAGUAUACAUAUUUUGACAUUUUCCGGUUCGAAAUCUGUCCUUUAAGCAUAUAUCUAUCAUCUAUAUUAUUAAAACUGAAGUACCUUUUGGUACUGUUUGGAAACUUAGAUAGUAGAUCAAAUGAAAGUUGUUUGAAAAAAAAGAUAGCAUAUUAAAUAUUUUUUUUUUAUAUAUUUAGUCACUGUAUUUCUUUCUCAUUUACAGAUUCUGUCGUUUGGAAACUUGGAUAAAAGAUUAAAUGAGAAUUGUUUGGAAACACGAAUAGCAAAUUAAAUAUUUUUUCUUAUUUACACAUGUAGCUAUUGCAUUUCUUUCUUAUUUACAAAUCUGUCACCUCACUUAAAAUCAAAAUUUUAAAAUUAAUUAAUUACAAUGAAUUCUUUUUUUUUUUGCUGAAAAUAAAAAACACAAACUGUAAUAUAUAGUAUAUAUUAAUCUGAUACAAUACAAUUUUCAAGAAAACCAAAUAUCAUAAAAUUAAUAAUAAUUUAUAAAACCUACUGUAAAAAAUUAAAUCAAUUUAAAUAAAUAAACAAAAAAAUAAAUAGGUUAAUAUAUGAAUAUUACAAUUACAUCAAAUUGCAUCAAGUUAUAAAAUUAUAAAUAUAAUAUUGUGUACAAAUAAAAAUUAUCAAACAUCUAUAUUAUAAUAUAUUAUAUUAUACUCUAAAUAUAUUUUACAAAACAUAAAAAUAUAAAUGGACAUUUUAUAAAAUCAAUGGUUUAUAAAUUUACAUUGAAUGCAAAUUAAAUCCAAAACCUGCGCGGAACCGCAUGUCAAGAUCUAGUAUUUCAUUGUUACCGAUCAAGAAUCGAAGAUAAUCGUCAAAGAAAAAAAUUAUUUAUGUUAAAAAUAAAUAAAAAAAACGGUUGUCGUUGGAGAAGAAACAAGUCGAGAGGAAGAUGAUGUAACUAAAAUUACAAAUGUGUCCUUUAUUAAUGAAAUGUUAAAAAAGCAAAAAAUUGACAUUUUUUUUUAAUCGAACCCGGGAGAAGAGAACUAGUUAUUAUAAGAACUUGCAUGCAUGAAAUUCUACGCGUACAGUUUUACUCGUUGACUUUAGAUAUUAUAGACUAAGAGCAUUGAUUAAUUAGAGGUUUUUACGAUGAAGUUCUUAGCAGAAUUUAAGAAACUGUUUCUUAACUUUUUAGUAAAAAAAGUUAAGAAUCGAUUUUUAAAUAAAGACUUUAAGAACCAGUACUUAGUUUUUUAGUUAAAAAUUAAAAAACAGAUUCUCAAUUUGUGUUAAUAACCUCACUCUAAAAACCCUCGGUAAAUCAUGGUGUAAACAUCGUAUAGCGGUACGAUGCAAGUUUAGACGAUGCAAGUCCUUACGGUACAUUGUAAAACUAUACCGACAUUGUCAAUGUUUAGUCUACGCGUACAGUUAUAACUCACUAGUUAUUUAUAUUAUUAUUAUUAAUUUAUUAUUAUGGCGGAGUCACAUGCAUGCAUGAGAUUCAUUCAUUCAUAAUGUCACACUCACACACUAUCCAUUCCCCUUUGUUUUGGUUAUAAAGAAAAUAAAAUUCUUAAAGUGACAAACUUCACGGGUUACACUGUGUUACUACCCGCCAAAUUCUACCCGCCACCUUUUAAAUUUCAUUUUAGUUUCUUCACCGUCAAUAAAUCGUCAGGACAAAAUAAUUACUUUUAAAUUUCAUUGUUUUAUCUUACCAAGUGUGGUCAGUAUCUCUAAUAAUUUUGAAGAAUAUUUAGAAAACUAAUUAGAUAAUAAUUUUCGACGAUGUUAAUAUAUAUGUCGAAGUAAAUAAGGUAAAAAAAAUGGUUCAUUUAUGGUUUUAUAUGGCAUUAAAAUUUUGAAUAUUGACUAUCAGAUUCAGUAUAUCAUUUGGAAUAAAAACAAAAGUAACCUAAAACUUAUAGAUUGAUCUUCUUUUCAGAAUGCAUAUGCAUUUACAGAUUUAGUAUCCUUUGAAUUAUUAAUUAUCAAAAAAAAAUUGUAUCCUUUGAAUUAUCGAUUAUACUAGCCAGAAUUACAUGUUGACCUAUUUACAUUAUAUUUGAAAUCCCAUAGUGAAUACGCGCACCAUGACUAGUAUUACUAUUAUUGUAUUAUAUUAUAUUUACAUUAAUAUGUAAUAUGAAAAAACUAUAAAGAGAAUCAUCAGUCACGGACAUCAUGACUCAAUCACUCUAAGCUAGAUACGUAAUAUCUUUCAGAAGCGUGGGACUAAAAUAUUACAAGAAAUAGCUUCGAACAAUUCAAUGAAGUUAGCAUGGUGAAAAAUAAUCUUGAACCCAACAGACUACUUUUGGUCGGGACCCCAAUAAGUUGGAACUUUGUUCAAGAUUUAUCAACCUAUGUAUAUGAAUAGUUGAAUAGUGUAUAUCCCCAAGAACUGAUUCUCUUUUUCCUAUUUGUAUAGGCAAAGACAUAAACUAGCACCCGAGAGAACUUGCCUAUGAUCCUCUCUCAAAAAAAAAAGUGGACCUAACAAGGAAGGAACAAGACAAAAAGAGUGAGAACGAUGUUUUUUUAUCAUAUCUUGUAACUAUAUAGAGAAUUGGAGGUGUCUCGCAAGUCAAGUAGUAAUCACAAAACCCCUUCAUAAAUUGUCUACCCACUGGGCACUACACUACAACAACCUUUGGUUGCUCCCAUUGUUUUCACCUAUAAAUUACAAAUAUGACUAUGCCUAAGGUUCUUAAAAAACUUUUUAAUGCCAAUAAUAUAACGAAGGUUUAAGUUAGUGGCUUCUAAAACGCUUAGACUAUGCAUUCUCUAAUAUUGAUUAUAGACUAAACAUUGACAAUGUCGGUACAGUUUUACGCGUUGGCUUUAGAUAUUAUAAGGACUUGAUCUGAGGUUUAGUUAAAAUAAGGUGCAAGACAUAAGACAUGAUUCUUAAAAGGUACUAGCUUAAGAUCCGUGCAAUUGCGCGGAGUGAAUGUUAUAUAUAAAACUAAUUUUAAUCUAUUAUUAUUUAUAUUUAUUUACGUAUUAUGUAUAUAAUUUAAUUAGAGUAAAUACAUAAAUCAAAACAAUACAUCUUGUUUAUUUAUGAUAUUUUUUUGGUAAAUAAAUCAAAACAAUCAUUUUAUUUAUUUUAUAUGGUAUAUAACUAAAUUUCAAUAACAUGGACAUAGAUAUAUAAUAUAUUUUAAUAUAAAUAUUUAUUAUUGAGAAUUCAUACUCAUAUGAUAAACACAAAAUUUCUAAUAUGCAAUUUUUAAUGCAAAUUUCAAAAUUAAAAUAUUAAGGUCCAAUACUUUUUCAGUACAAAUUUAGAAAUUAUCAUAUUUAAGUAUUACUCCAUGUUAUAUAGUUUAAUUUUAAACUAUAUUAUUAUAUAACAUGAAUGUCUAGUAAAUGUGACUUCAUAUUCAUACGAUUUAUAAUCAUUUGUAUCUUGUUAUUACCAAAAAAAGUUAAACCAUUGAUCACAAAAUUUCAGUGUGAGACAUUUAACAUUUUAAUAAUUUAUAAUCGUUUUAAAAAUUCAAAAUAUAACAUAUAAUUUUUUUAUUUUUUAUUAUAUGGUUAAUGUUGUUGUUUAAUAUCUUUUAAUAAUAUAAAAUUAAACAAAAAAAAAGCUAAGAUACAAAAUUUAUCAUCAAAAAUUUAUUAUUCAUAAUCAUUAAUUAUCAUAUAUACGUUAAUCAUAUUAGGCAAUUCUGUAAUUUUUAUUUAAGGAAAGUGCGAGAAUAUUAUUUUGUACAUUAUUUAUAAAUUUAAUAGUUAGUUUAAUAAAAAGUAUAAUAUAAGUUAAGAUAGAUCAACCUAUUUUUCCAAGAAUUCUAAAAUUCAUUUUUAUGUUGACACAUGAAUACAAAAUAUUAUCGUAAUGUUUCUGAUUAAUAUAUAAGAGAUUAUUGGCAUGCUUCACGAAGCUAAUAUUUGACCAAAUAUGCAAAUAUAAACUAUGGAAAUUUCUUAGGAACCUACUAGUAAUGAAAAUCAUUGGAGAUCGUACUAUCGUUAUUCGUUACUGAUUCUUUAGCAAAAAUAAACAUAUAAGAAAUGAUUAUGCGAGUUUAUGUUGCUGAGUGCUACAGUGAUAGUUUUGUUUUUCUAAUUAAGCAUUUUCAUGUUUUUGUUUUUCUAAACAUUUUCAUGUUGUUUGUUUUUCUAUACAUUUCCAUGUUACGGUAUAUAUAGGCUGAGCAUGUCCAAGCUAUUCAAAAUUAACCGAAUCGUGGAACAGAUCCAGUAACUAGCUAAUUCAUAGUUCUAUUAAAAUUGAGGUUAACAAAGGUAUAUUCAACCAGCGUAGCUGGCCCAGAUGGUCUUGUGGGGAAAUAAAAAACCCUAAUACGGAACACGCGGGUUCGAUGCGCUGGCCAGACAAUUGGGGUAUCUAAUUCCCUAUAGUACCAAAUGGUCCGCCUCGCGCCGAGGGGUUGGCCCCUGGAGAUGGAAGUCCCUCCAGGUUAAACAAAAAAAAAAAAAAAAAAAAAAAAAAGGAAAAAAAAAAAAAAAAAAAAAAAAAAAAAAAAAAAAAAAAAAAAAAAAAAAAAAAAAAAAAAAAAAAAAAAAAAAAAAAAAAAAAAAAAAAAAAAAAAAAAAAAAAAAAAAAAAAAAAAAAAAAAAAAAAAAAAAAAAAAAAAAAAAAAAAAAAAAAAAAAAAAAAAAAAAAAAAAAAAAAGGUAUAUUCGUAUAUAAAAGAAAAAAAAAACAAAUAAAUGAAUAGUAACAAAACUAGAGAGAGAACAGAAAGGAAUAUAGAUUUUGCCGAAACUUUUCUAAGGGCAGUGUCUGAGUAUUUUUUUGGUAAUCAUGUUAAAUCAGUGUCUGAGUUCUUCAAACCUUCUCAGACUUGUCGUUUGUAAUUAAUCAUUAUCUGGCCGAUUAAAAAUGAUUAAUGUAUUUGAUUUCGUGUUUUCCGAAUGCUUUCACACUAACCAAUUACAUUUUCACAAAAUUUACAAAUAGGUUCGUAGAGCAUGCAGCCAUGUGAUGAGCACAAAAGUGAAAAAUUCUUUAGCAGUUUACUUAUAUCAACGUAAAUAGCGAAUGUUAUUCCUAAAUUUCCCUGAAAAGAUAAGAAUCUACGACUACAAAGAUACGCCAAUUUAGGAAAGUAUGACAAACCCUUUUAUUUUCGUUUUGGAACUAAGUGACCUUAUACCUGCUUAAUAAAAUCUAAUAUUCCAAUCAUCUAAUCACAGUUUGGUGCUUACACUAUUAAAAAUAAACAAAUAUCGGCGAAUACUUUUUCUAUAAAAGGUGCACACUAUCAUAUACCUACUUACUAAGUCGUUUACACAACCCAAACCCUCAUUCUAAGAGAUGGGGUCUCACACACAAAACCUCUCUUUUCUUAUCCUCCUUCUCCUAGGCUUCCUUGCUGUCUCAUUCGCUUGCGAAUGUAGCCCUCCUAAACCAUCACCGAGUCCUCACAAACCGCCUAAACAUCCCGUCAAACCGCCUAAACCACCAGCAGCCAAACCACCAAAACCACCGGCAGUAAAACCUCCUAAACCCCCCACCAAACCUCCCACCCUUAAACCACACCCCCACCCUAAACCUCCCACUAAACCCCCCACCGUUAGACCACACCCACACCCUAAGCCCCCUACCAAACCUCAUCCCAUCCCAAAACCGCCCACCGUUAAACCACCACCCUCCACCCCCAAACCGCCCACAAAACCACCCACCGUUAAACCGCCUCCAUCCACCCCUAAGCCGCCCACCAAACCACCCACCGUCAAACCACCACCCUCCACCCCAAAACCGCCCACCAAGCCACCCACCGUCAAACCACCUCCGUCCACCCCUAAACCACCUACCCACAAGCCACCAAUAGUGUGCCCACCGCCAACACCAACACCAACCCCACCUGUUGUAACGCCACCAACACCACCAACACCAACUCCACCAGUCGUUACGCCACCAACACCAGCUCCACCUGUUGUAACGCCACCAACACCAACACCACCGGUCGUAACGCCACCGACACCAACCCCUCCUGUCGUAACACCACCAACACCACCGGUCGUAACGCCACCGACACCAACCCCUCCUGUCGUAACACCACCAACACCACCGGUCGUAACGCCACCGACACCAACCCCUCCUGUCGUAACACCUCCAACACCACCGGUCGUAACGCCACCGACACCAACCCCUCCUGUCGUAAUACCUCCAACACCACCGGUCGUAACGCCACCGACACCAACCCCUCCUGUCGUAACACCACCAACACCAACUCCACCUAAGCCAGAAACAUGCCCAAUCGACACGUUGAAGCUAGGCGCUUGUGUAGACGUUCUUGGAGGUUUGAUUCACAUCGGGCUUGGUGGAAGUAGCGCCAAGAAAGAGAGUUGUCCGGUUUUGGGAGGCUUAG
Molecule: long non-coding RNA, 39378 nt
Filed under: Brassica napus (rape)
Lineage: Eukaryota; Viridiplantae; Streptophyta; Magnoliopsida; Brassicales; Brassicaceae
Description: long non-coding RNA (BNAP_LNC017666)
Source: RNAcentral